Molecule: ribosomal RNA, 480 nt
Filed under: uncultured bacterium
Lineage: Bacteria
Description: bacterial SSU rRNA
Rfam family: Bacterial small subunit ribosomal RNA
Source: RNAcentral
CCCUUAGAGUUUGAUCCUGGCUCAGGAUGAACGCUAGCUACAGGCUUAACACAUGCAAGUCGAGGGGCAUCAGGAAGAAAGCCUGCUUUCUUUGCUGGCGACCGGCGCACGGGUGAGUAACACGUAUCCAACCUGCCCUUUACUCGGGGAUAGCCCUUCGAAAGAAAGAUUAAUACCCGAUAGCAUAAUGAUUCCGCAUGGUUUCAUUAUUAAAGGAUUCCGGUAAAGGAUGGGGAUGCGUUCCAUUAGGUUGUUGGUGAGGUAACGGCCCACCAAGCCUUCGAUGGAUAGGGGUUCUGAGAGGAAGGUCCCCCACAUUGGAACUGAGACACGGUCCAAACUCCUACGGGAGGCAGCAGUGAGGAAUAUUGGUCAAUGGGCGUUAGCCUGAACCAGCCAAGUAGCGUGAAGGAUGAAGGCUCUAUGGGUCGUAAACUUCUUUUAUAUAAGAAUAAAGUGCAGUAUGUAUACUGUUUUGUA